UACGUAGGUGGCAAGCGUUGUCCGGAUUUACUGGGCGUAAAGGGCGUGCAGGCGGUCUGUUAAGUGCAGGGUGAAAGCUCCCGGCUCAACUGGGAGAGGUCCUUGCAUACUGGCGGACUUGAGGGGGGUAGAGGAAAGUGGAAUUCCCGGUGUAGUGGUGAUAUGCGUAGAUAUCGGGAGGAACACCUGUGGCGAAGGCGGCUUUCUGGGCCCUACCUGACGCUGAGAUGCGAAAGCGUGGGGAGCAAACAGG
Molecule: ribosomal RNA, 253 nt
Filed under: uncultured bacterium
Lineage: Bacteria
Description: partial 16S ribosomal RNA
Rfam family: Bacterial small subunit ribosomal RNA
Source: RNAcentral